This 68-nucleotide transfer RNA is filed under the name Helicostoa sinensis. RNAcentral describes it as "tRNA-Ser". The record is from RNAcentral. Lineage: Eukaryota; Metazoa; Mollusca; Gastropoda; Littorinimorpha; Helicostoidae.
AGAAAAAACUAGGAGUAAAGUAGGGCUGCUAACCUUGCUUUGGGUAAAUCAACACUAUCCUUUUUCUU